This is a long non-coding RNA of Cyprinus carpio (common carp), 263 nucleotides long. RefSeq lists it as uncharacterized. NCBI's taxonomy places the organism in Eukaryota, Metazoa, Chordata, Actinopteri, Cypriniformes, Cyprinidae. The record is from RefSeq and is a predicted model, not a curated record. The transcript has 3 exons.
CGCAAAAACAACACUGGCCCCUGGUUCUCCAUUGAGGGUAAGAAUGAAGAGAGAGGAGUUUCUGGCGUUUCUUACCUGAGGAAACUCUAUGUGACUGUUGAUGGCAUCACAGUGACAAUGAUGAAAGAUAGGAAAAUUCUGGUGAAUGGACUCAGGGUGUCUCUCCCUCACUCCCCAUCUCCGCUCAUUUCACUGUCUGCUGCUGGACAAUAUGUAAUCCUCACAACUCCGUUCGGCCUGAAGGUGCAGUGGGACGGCAAUCA